AAAAAAAAUGUUGCUGUUGCUAAGUGUGGGGUUUCCCUCGCUAACAUGUUUUUUUAUCUCAUUCAGGUAGCGCAUUCAAUAGUAGUCCUCAUAUUCCAGUGUAAACAAGUCUGGAAAACUACUAGGGCAGUGGCGGUUGACAUCAUGUUUGCUUUGGACCGAAUGGCUACACUCCAGCAUCCAUCAGGUAGAAUUAGAUCACAGACAGGACCAUGUAAUGUGACCUUUGGUUAAUUCAUCAAGAAUCUCCGGCACUGUUUGUGCUGUAGGAUGAAGAGUUUUCCUUACACCCUGAGUAUACAGUAUGUGAGUGU
Cyprinus carpio carpio is the source of this 314-nucleotide long non-coding RNA. The record is from Ensembl. NCBI's taxonomy places the organism in Eukaryota, Metazoa, Chordata, Actinopteri, Cypriniformes, Cyprinidae.